AAAAAGGUAAUUAAUCAAGCUAAUGGGUUCAUACCCCAUUUAUAGAAGUAUUAAUCUUCUCCUUUUUA
This 68-nucleotide transfer RNA is filed under the name Prumna arctica. RNAcentral's name for it is "tRNA-Met". Lineage: Eukaryota; Metazoa; Arthropoda; Insecta; Orthoptera; Acrididae. The record is from RNAcentral.